GAAGCAAUCGGAAGUGGUUCCAAGAAAAGCCUCUAAGCUUCAGUCAUACGAGACCGUACCGCAAACCGACACAGGUGGGCGAGAUGAGUAUUCUAAGGCGCUUGAGAGAACUCGGGAGAAGGAACUCGGCAAAUUGGUACCGUAACUUCGGGAAAAGGUACGCCCCGGUAGCUUGAUUGGUUUACUCCAUGAGGGUGAAAGGGUUGCAAUAAACUGGUGGCUGCGACUGUUUAAUAAAAACACAGCACUCUGCAAACACGAAAGUGGACGUAUAGGGUGUGACGCCUGCCCGGUGCUGGAAGAUUAAAUGAUGGGGUGCAAGCUCUUGAUUGAAGUCCCAGUAAACGGCGGCCGUAACUAUAACGGUCCUAAGGUAGCGAAAUUCCUUGUCGGGUAAGUUCCGACCUGCACGAAUGGCGUAACGAUGGCCACACUGUCUCCUCCCGAGACUCAGCGAAGUUGAAAUGUUUGUGAUGAUGCAAUCUACCCGCGGCUAGACGGAAAGACCCCAUGAACCUUUACUGUAGCUUUGCAUUGGACUUUGAACCAAUCUGUGUAGGAUAGGUGGGAGGCUUUGAAGCGGGGACGCUAGUUCUCGUGGAGCCAACCUUGAAAUACCACCCUGGUUUGUUUGAGGUUCUAACCUUGGUCCGUUAUCCGGAUCGGGGACAGUGCAUGGUAGGCAGUUUGACUGGGGCGGUCUCCUCCUAAAGUGUAACGGAGGAGUUCGAAGGUACGCUAGAUACGGUCGGACAUCGUGUUGAUAGUGCAAUGGCAUAAGCGUGCUUAACUGCGAGACUGACAAGUCGAGCAGGUACGAAAGUAGGACAUAGUGAUCCGGUGGUUCUGUAUGGAAGGGCCAUCGCUCAACGGAUAAAAGGUACUCUGGGGAUAACAGGCUGAUUCCUCCCAAGAGUUCAUAUCGACGGGGGAGUUUGGCACCUCGAUGUCGGCUCAUCACAUCCUGGGGCUGUAGCCGGUCCCAAGGGUAUGGCUGUUCGCCAUUUAAAGUGGUACGUGAGCUGGGUUUAAAACGUCGUGAGACAGUUUGGUCCCUAUCUGCCGUGGGCGUUGGAAAUUUGAAGGGGGCUGCUCCUAGUACGAGAGGACCGGAGUGGACGUAUCUCUGGUGUACCGGUUGUCACGCCAGUGGCAUUGCCGGGUAGCUAAAUACGGAAGAGAUAACCGCUGAAAGCAUCUAAGCGGGAAACUUGCCUUGAGAUGAGAUUUCCCAGAGCCUUGAGCUCUUUGAAGGGUCGUUCGAGACCAGGACGUUGAUAGGCUGGGUGUGGAAGUGCAGUAAUGCAUUAAGCUAACCAGUACUAAUUGCCCGUACGGCUUGUCCCU
Molecule: ribosomal RNA, 1347 nt
Filed under: Janthinobacterium sp. SUN073
Lineage: Bacteria; Pseudomonadati; Pseudomonadota; Betaproteobacteria; Burkholderiales; Oxalobacteraceae
Description: partial 23S ribosomal RNA
Rfam family: Bacterial large subunit ribosomal RNA
Source: RNAcentral